RNAcentral lists this ribosomal RNA (448 nucleotides) under uncultured bacterium. RNAcentral describes it as "bacterial SSU rRNA". It matches the Rfam family "Bacterial small subunit ribosomal RNA", at positions 28 to 458 of the family's 1533-position model. The record is from RNAcentral.
GAUGAACGCUGGCGGCGUGCUUAACACAUGCAAGUCGAACGAAGCACUUUAAUCGAUUUCUUCGGAUUGAAAUUUUAGUGACUGAGUGGCGGACGGGUGAGUAACGCGUGGGUAACCUGCCUCACACAGGGGGAUAACAGUUGGAAACGGCUGCUAAUACCGCAUAAGCGCACAGUACCGCAUGGUACAGUGUGAAAAACUCCGGUGGUGUGAGAUGGACCCGCGUCUGAUUAGCUAGUUGGCAGGGCAACGGCCUACCAAGGCGACGAUCAGUAGCCGACCUGAGAGGGUGACCGGCCACAUUGGGACUGAGACACGGCCCAAACUCCUACGGGAGGCAGCAGUGGGGAAUAUUGCACAAUGGGGGAAACCCUGAUGCAGCGACGCCGCGUGAGCGAAGAAGUAUUUCGGUAUGUAAAGCUCUAUCAGCAGGGAAGAAGAAAUGACG